CAGCUCUCGAGGGACUCUCCCGGGCUCGGCGGAGGAGCCGGGUCGGCACGCGCCAUUCGCGCGUCUUUUUGUUCCCGUUUGUCUGGUUCCCUUUUCGACCGCUGCGGUGCUGGGCAGGAAAGGCUGGGAAGAAAGCCCGGGAGCGGCUCCCCACGGGCUUUGCAGCCAUUUGGCACCUUGGGAGGAGGCACAAAUCCCCGCGGGGCCGAGCGAGGGCUGCGGGGAGCGCAGCAGGGGCGGCGAGCUGGGCCGGGGCUGGGACCGGUCCCCAAAACCCGCAGCCAGAAGCGACCCAAAAGAACCCCAGAGCCCGGCGAGGGCGACAAAGGGACGGGGCAGCCCCAGGUGUGGCCGGUGAGGAUGACGAGGGGCCGGCCCUGCCGGGGGGUUUGCUGGGAGCACUUUUUGUCGGGAGCUUCUGCAGAGGAGCCGUGGAUCCCGGGGAGUCUCUCCAGCCCGGAAUUUCCCCUGAUAUUUUCGCUCCUAAAACCAAGGGACGAUCGGUCCUGCCUUGGAAGCAAGAGAAUGUCCUGGUGUCUGGGAAUAUUUUGGGCAUAAAACUGGAGGUAAACUGUAGGGGACAGAGGGUGUAUUUGGAGUGUAAUAGCUCAGCAAGUCAGGAGGGGAGCGAUUCAAGUCAUAAACAGGAAAUCAAUAUUUUGGGGCUGCCUUUCUGAGAGGGAAUAACAAUUGUUUUCCGUGGGAAGGCAAGCACGUGGCCCCCAUGAUUUAAGGUGUAGAUGACAGCCUGCCCAGGGGAGGUAAAGGACAGCAAGACUUUUGUGUCCUGACCCUUUCUGGACAAAUUGGUGGAAAGGUGAAGCUUUCACUCAGCAUCUGGGUGAGCUGAUGAGUCGUUUUUUUGUGAGGGGCUCCAGCCAUGUCCCUGGGGGGAAGGGAGGGCUGGAUGGGCUGGAUGGAGCCACAGGCACGUGCUUGUGGGAACACACUUGGCCAGGGCGCUGGGAUCCGGGUCGGGCUCCAGUUCCCCUGGUGUCCAGGGAUGCAGGGGCUGAGGGGUUGGAUCUCCCUGGGGCUUUGCAGGAGAGCAGGAGUGAGAGGAAAUGCGGUGCCAGAGCUGUGUCCCAGUGGGCUGUGUUUGCCUCUGAGGACAGAGAGCCUGUGGGCUGAGGUGAGAUUGCUGUGAGUGUUGGGAUGAGCAAUGCAGGGAACAGGGAGCUCAGAUCAGUCCUUGGGCAGGAAUUGAACUUGGGAGAUCAGCUGGUCUGGCCCCAGAGAGCACCACUGAAAUCAGAAUUAAUGACCUGGCCUGUGCCCACUGCUCCUUAUUCAUUCCAAAGCACGUGUUGGUUCUGUUUUAGGAACUUAAAAUAACUUUAAACGAAAUAAGUCACCAUUUCCUUCUUCUUUUUCCCUUUCAGGUGGUGGAAUUGCCUCUCUGUCCAUGUGCUGAGCUGCAGGUGCAGGGACUGUCAGGCCUUGUUGGCUGUGAGUUCCUGGGGUUCUCCCUGGGUAGUUUAUAAGGUAGAGAUUGAACAUAUUUAGAUCUAAAUGUGAUGAUCAGAUGUGGAGAGGUAGGGAAAGUUUGGGGGUUAAAAUCAGGGGCAAUCUGUAGCAGAGAGAAUGAAAAUGUUGUGUUAAAACAGAGGUAAUCAGGAGUGGGCUGGAAGGGAAAGUUGUGGGGUGAGAUAGGAGAGAGUAUCCAUGGCAGAGAAUGACUAUUUGGAGGUGAAACUGAGGAAUCAGCAGUGGACAGGGAGGGAAAACAUUGGGGUAAACUCUGGGGCAGUGUGUAGCAGAGAGAAGGAAGAUUUUGGGUUCAACUGAGGCCGUCAGUAGUGGGCAGGAAAGGAAAGUUCUGGGGGUAAAACUUGAGAAAACCUACAAGGUAGAGAUGGACUAUUUGGAGGUAAAAAAAGAGAUAAUCAGCAGUGUGCAGGCUGAGAAAACUGUGGGGGUUAAAUGUGAGGUGGUCUGUGGGGGAGAAAAUGAAGAUCUCAUGUUAAAAACGAGGUGACCAGUUGUGGGCUGGAAGGGCAGGUUUUGGGGCUUCAAAAGGAGGUUGAUUCUCUGCAGGGAGAGAAUGAAACAAAGGAAAUAAAAUAAAAAGAAAAGAAAAAGUAAAAUGAAAA
Manacus vitellinus (golden-collared manakin) is the source of this 2093-nucleotide long non-coding RNA. Lineage: Eukaryota; Metazoa; Chordata; Aves; Passeriformes; Pipridae. The record is from Ensembl.